RNAcentral lists this unclassified non-coding RNA (446 nucleotides) under Hevea brasiliensis (rubber tree). The record is from RNAcentral. Lineage: Eukaryota; Viridiplantae; Streptophyta; Magnoliopsida; Malpighiales; Euphorbiaceae.
UAUUCUUAAUCUUGAAAACCAAUGACAACUUGUUCUUAUUAAAGGUCUAUUCCCGAACCACAACUAUUAUAUCCUAAAAAAACACCUGGAAAAAAAGAAUAUCAAAAUUUCUUGAGACUAAGCUCAUGAAAAUGUAAAAGUUAUCCAGAUUGAUCGCAAAAGCAGAUUCCUCACAUGUUUGAAUUCUUUGGGAACUGAUUUGAACCAUCUGAUCAUAAUUCAUAAUUGGGAAAGCAAGAACUCUGCAAAUUAUGCCUAGCAAAAAAGAGUUUCAAGGUUCUGGACCAGAAAUUUGAUUGUUUGAUAAUUUUCUGUUAAUUCAAAAUUAAUCCCUAACAUAUAUGCAUGGAACUUCACAUUAGAUCAUACAUUGCAUUCACAUGCCAAGAUAUUCCGAUAAAUUCAAUUGACUAAACAGUAUAAAACUACAGAUGCAUUUAUUAUCG